UGAACGCUGGCGGCGUGCCUAACACAUGCAAGUCGAGCGAUCUCUCGGAGAAGAGCGGCGGACGGGUGAGUAACGCGUGGGUAACCUGCCUCAUACACAUGGAUAACAUACCGAAAGGUAUGCUAAUACAGGAUAACAUAAGAGAUUCACAUGGAUUUCUUAUCAAAGCUCCGGCGGUAUGAGAUGGACCCGCGUCUGAUUAGCUAGUUGGUAAGGUAACGGCUUACCAAGGCGACGAUCAGUAGCCGACCUGAGAGGGUGAUCGGCCACAUUGGAACUGAGACACGGUCCAAACUCCUACGGGAGGCAGCAGUGGGGAAUAUUGCACAAUGGGCGAAAGCCUGAUGCCAGCAACGCCGCGUGAGUGAUGAAGGCUUUCGGGUCGUAAAACUCUGUCCUCAAGGAAGAUAAUGACGGUACUUGAGGAGGAAGCCCCGGCUAACUACGUGCCAGCAGCCGC
Molecule: ribosomal RNA, 460 nt
Filed under: uncultured bacterium
Lineage: Bacteria
Description: bacterial SSU rRNA
Rfam family: Bacterial small subunit ribosomal RNA
Source: RNAcentral